CCUACGGGAGGCAGCAGUGAGGAAUAUUGGUCAAUGGACGAGAGUCUGAACCAGCCAAGUAGCGUGAAGGAUGACUGCCAUAUGGGUUGUAAACUUCUUUUAUAUGGGAAUAAAAUGUUCCACGUGUGGGAUUUUGUAUGUACCAUAUGAAUAAGGAUCGGCUAACUCCGUGCCAGCAGCCGCGGUAAUACGGAGGAACCGAGCGUUAUCCGGAUUUAUUGGGUUUAAAGGGAGCGUAGGUGGGUUUUUAAGUCAGUUGUGAAAGUUUGCGGCUCAACCGUAGAAUUGCAGUUGAAACUGGCAGUCUUGAGUGCAGUAGAGGUGGGCGGAAUUCGUGGUGUAGCGGUGAAAUGCUUAGAUAUCACGAAGAACUCCGAUUGCGAAGGCAGUUCACUGGACUGCAACUGACGCUGAGGCACGAAAGUGUGGGUAUCGAACAGGAUUAGAUACCCGGGUAGUC
RNAcentral lists this ribosomal RNA (460 nucleotides) under uncultured bacterium. RNAcentral describes it as "partial 16S ribosomal RNA". It matches the Rfam family "Bacterial small subunit ribosomal RNA", at positions 338 to 795 of the family's 1533-position model. The record is from RNAcentral.